This 79-nucleotide transfer RNA is filed under the name Candidatus Berkelbacteria bacterium. RNAcentral describes it as "tRNA-Asp". It matches the Rfam family "tRNA". Rfam says of the family: Transfer RNA (tRNA) molecules are approximately 80 nucleotides in length. The record is from RNAcentral. Lineage: Bacteria; Candidatus Berkelbacteria.
GGGCGCGUGGUGUAGUCUGGCCUAACACGCCACCCUGUCACGGUGGAGACCGCCGGUUCGAAUCCGGUCGCGCCCGCCA